This 1698-nucleotide ribosomal RNA is filed under the name Triticum aestivum (bread wheat). RNAcentral describes it as "partial small subunit ribosomal RNA". Lineage: Eukaryota; Viridiplantae; Streptophyta; Magnoliopsida; Poales; Poaceae. The record is from RNAcentral.
AUGAUUGGGAAGACCAAUAGGUAUUUUAAUCCUGAUUGGUAUGAGGAGUAUGGUGGUACUUGGCUAGAGUACAGUGAGGCAAAUGACAAUGCAUAUUGCUUGUGUUGCUAUUUAUUCAGGGACAACACCAAAGGUAACAAACCUGGGCAUGAUGCAUUUGUAGUAGAUGCCUUUCAUAAUUGGAAGAAGCCAGAAAGAUUUGUGACUCAUGUAGGUGAUCGCAAUAGUUUCCACGAUAAAGCACUAAAAAACUGUGAGGAUCUAGAGAACAUAGAUCAAUCAAUCCCGGUAGCCUUACACAAGCAAAGCCCAAUUGAGAAAACUGAGCAUCUUUUUUGGGUCAAUGUUGCAAUUUAUGUAUGUCGAUACUUGUUGCAUCAGGGACAACCAUUCCGUGGUCAUGAUGAAUCAAAAGAGUCGUAUACUAUUAGUCAGAAAGAAAUUGUAGCCAAGGCAUUCAAAAACGCCCCACAAAAUAAUCAAAUGUUGUCUCCAAAAAUCCAGAAAAGUAUUACUGAAUGCUUUGCAGAAGAAAUCUUGUCAUGUAUUUUGCAAGAAAUUAGCAGGGAUGUGUUCAGCUUAUUGGUUGAUGAGUGUCGUGAUAUUUCUGACAAAGAGCAGAUGGCAUUGGUUCUACGAUACGUGAGUGGUGGGCUGUCAUAUGAGAGGUUUGUAGGUGUUGUUCACAUUGAGCAGACUACAGCUACUUUUCUCAAGUCCAAAAUUGAUUUUAUCAUUGCAAAGUUUGGUUUGAGUUUAAAACAAGUGAGAGGACAAGGGUAUGACGGUGCAAGCAACAUGGCAGGUGAGUUCAAUGGUUUGCAAGAAAAAAUUAUGAGAGAUAAUAGUUCAGCUUAUUUUGUACAUUGUUUUGCGCACAAACUUGACUUGGUUGUUGUGGCCAUUGCAAAGAAAAUUACUAAUGUUGGAGAUUUCUUUGAUAUGAUAUCACUUAUGGUGACUGUUGAUGGAUCAUCUUGCAAGAGAAAGGAUAAACUUAGAGUGGAUCAUCAAGAAGAAGUGAGGAAAGCAAUUGGUAAGGGUGAGAUUGCUACAGGAACUAGACUAAAUCAAGAGCUUUCUCUUCAAAGGCCAGGAGAUACUAGAUGGAACUCUCACUAUAGAACUUUGGUAGGUUUGCCAAAGAUGUUUCCAUCGGUGGUUAAAGUGCUAGAAUAUGUUAAGGAAGAUGGUACUGAUCCUAUUAAGAAACGUCAAGCCAGUGGGAUUCUAAAAUAUUUUCAAUCAUUUGAUUUUGUAUUCUAUCUACACAUGAUGAUGAUUAUAUUUGCUUUAACAAAUGGGCUAUCUAAAACAUUUCAGAGAAAGGAUAUGGACAUUGUUAAUGCCAUAUCAGAUGUGGAAUCUACUAAGAGAGAGCUACUAAAGCUUAGAUCUGAGCAUGGUUGGAAUGUUCUUCUAGACAAGGUACGUUCUUUUUGUGAGAAGAAUGACAUUUUAGUGAUGGACAUGGAAAAUGAUUACGUGAAUCCAAAGAAGAUAAGGCAAAGGACAUGCAUUAACAAUGAGCAUCAUUAUCGAAUUGAUUGUUUCUUUGCUGUCCUAGAUAUGUUGGUAGAAGAGUUAAAUGGCAGAUUCAAUGUUAUCAAUUCUGAGUUACUUUGUUGUAUGUCAGCUUUGAGUCCAAGUGAUCAGUUUGGUCACUAUAAUGUUGAGAAGUUGAAGAAAUUGGCUUAG